GAUGAACGCUGGCGGCGUGCCUAAUACAUGCAAGUCGAGCGAACAGACGAGGAGCUUGCUCCUCUGACGUUAGCGUCGGACGUGUGAGUAACACGUGGAUAACCUACCUAUAAGACUGGGAUAACUUAGGGAAACCGGAGCUAAUACCGGAUAAUAUAUUGAACCGCAUGGUUCAAUAGUGAAAGACGGUUUUGCUGUCACUUAUAGAUGGAUCCGCGCCGCAUUAGCUAGUUGGUAAGGUAACGGCUUACCAAGGCAACGAUGCGUAGCCGACCUGAGAGGGUGAUCGGCCACACUGGAACUGAGACACGGUCCAGACUCCUACGGGAGGCAGCAGUAGGGAAUCUUCCGCAAUGGGCGAAAGCCUGACGGAGCAACGCCGCGUGAGUGAUGAAGGUCUUCGGAUCGUAAAACUCUGUUAUUAGGGAAGAACAAAUGUGUAAGUAACUAUGCACGUCUUGACGGUACCUAAUCAGAAAGCCACGGCUAACUACGUG
RNAcentral lists this ribosomal RNA (497 nucleotides) under uncultured bacterium. RNAcentral's name for it is "partial 16S ribosomal RNA". It matches the Rfam family "Bacterial small subunit ribosomal RNA", at positions 28 to 507 of the family's 1533-position model. The record is from RNAcentral.